GAUAAAUUGGCCGAGUGUUAGGCAGUAGGCUGUAGUCCUAUUUACAUUGGUUUAAUUCCUUUAUUUAUCA
RNAcentral lists this transfer RNA (70 nucleotides) under Anolis barbatus. RNAcentral's name for it is "tRNA-Tyr". It matches the Rfam family "tRNA". From Rfam's summary of the family: Transfer RNA (tRNA) molecules are approximately 80 nucleotides in length. Their secondary structure includes four short double-helical elements and three loops (D, anti-codon, and T loops). Lineage: Eukaryota; Metazoa; Chordata; Lepidosauria; Squamata; Anolidae. The record is from RNAcentral.